UGUUGUGUGUAUAUGUUGUGGGUGUGUUGUGUGUCUGUGUAUAUGUUGUGUGUGUGGUAUGUGUCUGUGUGUGUAAGGGUGGAGCCCCAGGUGAGGAUCAGAGAGUGGUCAGGGCAGUGGUGUGUGUAGCAGGAGGAAAGGAAAAGCCGCUGGCUCUGACCUCUUCUGCAGGGAUCACUGCUGUGUGGUGAGCAGGGGGACCGAAGGGAGGAGUCACUGUGGUCCUGGGGAUUCAGAUGGAAACGGCAUCUCAAGAUGAGGUGGUUUCCAGUGCUAGGUAGGAGGUG
This is a long non-coding RNA of Cercocebus atys (sooty mangabey), 287 nucleotides long. RefSeq lists it as uncharacterized. Lineage: Eukaryota; Metazoa; Chordata; Mammalia; Primates; Cercopithecidae. The transcript has 2 exons. The record is from RefSeq and is a predicted model, not a curated record.